This 1347-nucleotide ribosomal RNA is filed under the name Triticum aestivum (bread wheat). RNAcentral's name for it is "partial small subunit ribosomal RNA". Lineage: Eukaryota; Viridiplantae; Streptophyta; Magnoliopsida; Poales; Poaceae. The record is from RNAcentral.
AUGUCGGCAGGAGCCACUAUAAACUGGAUCAGAACCCCAUUUCACGCCCAGAGAUUUCAUGACUUCUCAAGUUUAAGUUUUAGAUGCCGAAACACUUUUGGAUCAAUUCAGCCUUCCUGGUUGGCAACUGAUCAGGAUUCAUCCCUCUCCAAAGUCCGUGUGGCUGCAGACUACUCAGAUUCAGUGCCAGAUUCCAAGUACAUGAGAGAUCGGGGAUACCAUCCUCUUGAAGAAAUCAAAGAACGCCCAAAGAAAAAAGACAUUUCACUGACAGAUGUAGAAACAGCUAGAACAGUAGUAGAGGCAAAUAGCAAGGGAUUGCUCGUAUUUCCUGCCAGGGUCCAUAAUGAACCUCAUGGACAUGUUUCUUGGUCAGAAUUUCAGUAUGCUGUUGAUGACUAUGGAGACAUUUUCUUUCAAGUACCUGAUGAUGGGAACAUCUUGGAAGAUGAUGAUGCAAACAACCCUGUGACAGUUUUGAUCGGAACGGAUGGUGCCAUUAUCGGUGAAACUAGUGCGGUAACUAGUGAUUUCAGCGACCACGUGGUCGUUGAGGAUUCUAUGGACAUGCAUGAUAAUGACAGCAAGGUUGACACAGAAAUAACGGAUAUUCUUAUAGAGUGGGGAAUGCCAGUGACGAUGCGUUCAAUACAUCCUAUAUAUUUUGCCAAGUGUUUGACAAAGGCUGUUCAUGAUAAUCAUGGGGAGAAGAUCGAUAAUCCAUCAAACGGUGUCUCUAUUGUAGGAUACCUGAGACCUGCUUUUAUAGAAGAAGAGUCUUAUUUGAGGAGUUUAUUUGGUGCUGAAUGCAGUGCCGAUGGUUAUUCAUCUAAUUGGAGAGAGGAAUACAACAGAGAACCCCGGCCAGCUUCUGGAACCAAUGGCCUAAUUGAUGGUGAUAAAUCGAAAUCGGACAUCAACGAUACGGAAAGUAGCAUUGAUUCAACCAUCUACAAGCUGGAAAUGAUGUCAAUUGAGCUGUUUUCUGUCUAUGGUAAGCAGUUUAUGAUUGAUCCACAAGACUUUCAAGAUGCAGAACCAGAUCUUCUUUCAAAUCAUGCUUCGGACAUUAUAAAACGCGUCAAAGAAAACAGUGAUCAGUGUACCAUGGCUCUAAGGUCCCUCUGUAGCCGGAAAAAAGGCCUUACAGUAGAGGAUGCAAGUUUGAUAGGUGUCGAUAGUCUUGGUAUCGACGUCAGAGCCUUUUCUGGCUUGGAAGCUCGGACCGUUCGAUUUUCAUUCAAUGCCCAGGCGUUAUCUGAACGUUCAGCUGAAAAGAAGAUCAAGCGAAUGCUUUUUCCGCGUUAUCGCAAGACCGUGAAAGCUUCCGCUGAAGAUGAAUGUUAG